Cynoglossus semilaevis (tongue sole) is the source of this 523-nucleotide long non-coding RNA. RefSeq lists it as uncharacterized. NCBI's taxonomy places the organism in Eukaryota, Metazoa, Chordata, Actinopteri, Pleuronectiformes, Cynoglossidae. The record is from RefSeq and is a predicted model, not a curated record. The transcript is spliced from 3 exons.
CGGCGUUCCUGAGGUUCCUGUCAGGGUUCUACUCACUUGGUGGCGGUGCGUUCACAGAACAUUUUGGAGCCCUUUGGCACAAUUCACUGGAAACAAAGAAACAUUUGUUAAAUUAGAAAAAAUCCAAGUUUGGGAUGUGUUGACAAGCUGAUGGAAGAACCUCACCCCGUACAGCUGGAACCUGCUCUGACUGUGGACGACUGGAGAGAUCCACCACACGACAGUCGGGUCUGUCGGUGGUUGUUAUUAACCGUUGGGGUCAGCCGGGCCCUGAGUCCACGUCUUAAAAAAAUCCUGAACAAGUGAGUGAGGACAGAUUUAGCAGCUGAAAACAUUCCUGCCGCAGACACACCUUAGAGUCAGAACAGAACAAACACAUUAUCUUUAUCACUGCUCUGGCUGCGGGCCAACAGGGAGACGCAUACGUCCUCUGCUUUGUACACUGGCACGGGUUGAACCACACACACAUACACACACGUACAUACAUUUAACUGACUUCAUGCCCAUCUUAUAUUAUUGUAAU